ACAUGUCGGGUUCCUCCAAGAUCUCGGAGACUCGGAUUCGGGCGGCGGAAUUUCCGGCUAGCCAGUCUCCAGAGAUCGAGAUCGUGGAGGAACCUGAUAACUUCU
Molecule: non-coding RNA, 105 nt
Organism: Brachypodium distachyon (stiff brome)
Lineage: Eukaryota; Viridiplantae; Streptophyta; Magnoliopsida; Poales; Poaceae
Source: RefSeq, marked provisional